UACCCCGUGGUGUAAUCGGUAGCACAACAGGUUUUGGUCCUGUUAGUUCUGGUUCGAGUCCAGGCGGGGUAACCA
Molecule: transfer RNA, 75 nt
Filed under: Planctomycetota bacterium
Lineage: Bacteria; Pseudomonadati; Planctomycetota
Description: tRNA-Gln
Rfam family: tRNA
About the family: Transfer RNA (tRNA) molecules are approximately 80 nucleotides in length.
Source: RNAcentral